GGGGAUGUUCCGGAAUUCGACUUAUGGUCGUAAGAUGUGCUUGCGUGUCGGAGAUGAUACUCGGCUCCGUAAAAAUGUAUCACAACAAACAUAAAUGGCGAAGAAUACGCUAUUGCUGCUUAAUUAACGCGGCACGUCAGCCCGCCGACUCCCAAUAGGCGGAAUCUGGCGUCGACAUUGGGAACAGGGAUUGCCGGCAUUUGUUCGGGUCGGCGGUCGCCAAAUUGCGGACAAUGCGUUCGGGACGGUAGUCGUAGCCCAAGCCCGAACAAAGACUAAAGUACGACUACACACGUAGAAGGUGCGUUUGAAAGCGAUAAGGACAGGGGUUCAACUCCCCUCAUCUCCACCA
RNAcentral lists this transfer-messenger RNA (352 nucleotides) under Opitutales. RNAcentral's name for it is "Merdousia sp900548275 Standard tmRNA". It matches the Rfam family "transfer-messenger RNA". From Rfam's summary of the family: Bacterial tmRNA, also known as 10Sa RNA or SsrA, is named for its dual tRNA and mRNA-like properties. Its role is to liberate the mRNA from a stalled ribosome. Lineage: Bacteria; Pseudomonadati; Verrucomicrobiota; Opitutia. The record is from RNAcentral. RNAcentral also lists the same sequence under 1 other name.